ACUCCUACGGGAGGCAGCAGUGGGGAAUAUUGCACAAUGGGGGAAACCCUGAUGCAGCCAUGCCGCGUGUAUGAAGAAGGCCUUCGGGUUGUAAAGUACUUUCAGCAGUGAGGAAGGUGGGUAUGUUAAUAGCAUAUUCAUUUGACGUUAGCUGCAGAAGAAGCACCGGCUAACUCCGUGCCAGCAGCCGCGGUAAUACGGAGGGUGCGAGCGUUAAUCGGAAUUACUGGGCGUAAAGCGCGUGUAGGUGGCUUGUUAAGCCAGAUGUGAAAGCCCGGGCUCAACCUGGACUGCAUUUGGAACUGGCAGGCUAGAGUUUUGUAGAGGGUGGUAGAAUUUCAGGUGUAGCGGUGAAAUGCGUAGAGAUCUGAAGG
This 374-nucleotide ribosomal RNA is filed under the name uncultured bacterium. RNAcentral's name for it is "bacterial SSU rRNA". It matches the Rfam family "Bacterial small subunit ribosomal RNA", at positions 335 to 704 of the family's 1533-position model. The record is from RNAcentral.